RNAcentral lists this ribosomal RNA (533 nucleotides) under Salmonella enterica. RNAcentral describes it as "partial 23S ribosomal RNA". It matches the Rfam family "Bacterial large subunit ribosomal RNA", at positions 659 to 1190 of the family's 2925-position model. Lineage: Bacteria; Pseudomonadati; Pseudomonadota; Gammaproteobacteria; Enterobacterales; Enterobacteriaceae. RNAcentral also lists the same sequence under 3 other names. The record is from RNAcentral.
AGGGGAGCCGCAGGGAAACCGAGUCUUAACCGGGCGUUAAGUUGCAGGGUAUAGACCCGAAACCCGGUGAUCUAGCCAUGGGCAGGUUGAAGGUUGGGUAACACUAACUGGAGGACCGAACCGACUAAUGUUGAAAAAUUAGCGGAUGACCUGUGGCUGGGGGUGAAAGGCCAAUCAAACCGGGAGAUAGCUGGUUCUCCCCGAAAGCUAUUUAGGUAGCGCCUCGUGAAUUCAUCUCCGGGGGUAGAGCACUGUUUCGGCUAGGGGGCCAUCCCGGCUUACCAACCCGAUGCAAACUGCGAAUACCGGAGAAUGUUAUCACGGGAGACACACGGCGGGUGCUAACGUCCGUCGUGAAGAGGGAAACAACCCAGACCGCCAGCUAAGGUCCCAAAGUCAUGGUUAAGUGGGAAACGAUGUGGGAAGGCCCAGACAGCCAGGAUGUUGGCUUAGAAGCAGCCAUCAUUUAAAGAAAGCGUAAUAGCUCACUGGUCGAGUCGGCCUGCGCGGAAGAUGUAACGGGGCUAAACCAU